RNAcentral lists this ribosomal RNA (446 nucleotides) under uncultured bacterium. RNAcentral's name for it is "partial 16S ribosomal RNA". It matches the Rfam family "Bacterial small subunit ribosomal RNA", at positions 338 to 795 of the family's 1533-position model. The record is from RNAcentral.
CCUACGGGUGACUGCAGUCGAGAAUCAUUCACAAUGGGGGAAACCCUGAUGGUGCGACGCCGCGUGGGGGAAUGAAGUUCUUCGGAUUGUAAACCCCUGUCAUGUGGGAGCAAAUUAAAAAGAUAGUACCCCAAGAGGAAGAGACGGCUAACUCUGUGCCAGCAGCCGCGGUAAUACAGAGGUCUCAAGCGUUGUUCGGAAUCACUGGGCGUAAAGCGUGCGUAGGCUGUUUCGUAAGUCGUGUGUGAAAGGCGCGGGCUCAACCCGCGGACGGCACAUGAUACUGCGAGACUAGAGUAAUGGAGGGGGAACCGGAAUGCUCGGUGUAGCAGUGAAAUGCGUAGAUAUCGAGAGGAACACUCGUGGCGAAGGCGGGUUCCUGGACAUUAACUGACGCUGAGGCACGAAGGCCAGGGGAGCGAAAGGGAUUAGAUACCCCGGUAGUC